GAGACAGGUGGUGCAUGGUUGUCGUCAGCUCGUGUCGUGAGAUGUUGGGUUAAGUCCCGCAACGAGCGCAACCCUUGUGCUUAGUUGCAAACAGGUCAAGCUGUGCACUCUAGACAGACUGCCGUGGACAACACGGAGGAAGGUGGGGAUGACGUCAAAUCAUCAUGCCCCUUAUGAUCUGGGCUACACACGUGCUACAAUGGCCGGUACAACGGGCAGCGAAGGAGCGAUCCGGAGCGAAUCCUAAAAAGCCGGUCCCAGUUCGGAUUGCAGGCUGAAACUCGCCUACAUGAAGUUGGAGUUGCUAGUAAUCGCGAAUCAGAAUGUCGCGGUGAAUGCGUUCCCGGGUCUU
Molecule: ribosomal RNA, 352 nt
Filed under: uncultured Fusibacter sp.
Lineage: Bacteria; Bacillati; Bacillota; Clostridia; Eubacteriales; Fusibacteraceae
Description: bacterial SSU rRNA
Rfam family: Bacterial small subunit ribosomal RNA
Source: RNAcentral